Molecule: ribosomal RNA, 254 nt
Filed under: uncultured bacterium
Lineage: Bacteria
Description: partial 16S ribosomal RNA
Rfam family: Bacterial small subunit ribosomal RNA
Source: RNAcentral
UACGUAGGGGCCUAGCGUUGUCCGGAAUCAUUGGGCGUAAAGAGCUCGUAGGCGGUUCGGCAAGUCACGUGUGAAAUCUCCACGCUUAACGUGGAGGCGCCACGUGAAACUGCCGUGACUCGAGUCCGGUAGGGGAGUGUGGAAUUCCCGGUGUAGCGGUGAAAUGCGCAGAUAUCGGGAGGAACACCAGUAGCGAAGGCGGCACUCUGGGCCGGUACUGACGCUGAGGAGCAAAAGCGUGGGGAGCGAACAGG